This 111-nucleotide ribosomal RNA is filed under the name human gut metagenome. The record is from RNAcentral.
CGGUGGUUAUAGCAGCGGAGAUACACCCGAUCCCUUUCCGAACUCGGACGUGAAACCCGCUCACGCCAAUGGUACUUUGUCUCAAGACACGGGAGAGUAGGUCGCUGCCGG